GUGGGGGGGAGGGGGGCCCAGGCCUACCGCAUACCACCCACCCACACAAGCACCCACCCACCGAGGCCCACGUCUCCAGGCCAGCUCCAGAGUUUGCUGCCGCACCUAGCAACGCUGUUGAGGAAUGUGGCCGCUCACCAUGGAGAGCUCCCUGCAGGGAGGCCCCCGGGCCCAGGCUGCCCCCUCCCCGGCUCUCCCCAGGUCCUCCCCUCCCCCUCUGCCACCACGCCUCGCCCCCCCUGCCCAGCUGCCCGCUUUGCCAGCAGAGAAGGCGGCCUUUGGGAACGGGCAGGCCCGAGAGCCGAUGCCCGAGGCAAAGCCGCUCNNNNNNNNNNNNNNNNNNNNNNNNNNNNNNNNNNNNNNNNNNNNNNNNNNNNNNNNNNNNNNNNNNNNNNNNNNNNNNNNNNNNNNNNNNNNNNNCUGGGAGCUGGAGUGGGGGAGGGGGCCACUCGGCCCUCGGGUGCAGGGAGGCCUCCUCUUGUGUUUAGAUGUCAGCUGAGUUACUAAUCACACAGAAGAACAGCACCCAGCACCCCCCACCGGCCCCUUUCCCAUGCGCCCCAUCCCCUUCCUGAGGGCAACAAUGUACCCCCCCCCCCCCCCCCAAAAAACUAGAACCCAGGACCUCUUCCCCAGCUGCAGACUCCGAAGGGCCCGAGGCCCCUCCUUCUCCAUCUGCCCCAGAGGGACUGGCUUUCCCCUGAGGACAAACCUGCUGGCUGCAGGCUGUUCUGGUCACAGGAGGGGGCUAAACAAAUCCCGGACCCUCUUUCCUGCCUAGGCACCCCACCCCGACCCCGGGAGAGCUCUCCCGGCAGGACAGCGGGGCACCCCGAGGCUCACCCACCGUCUUAGAAUGUAAACUUAGAUGGAAGAAAAUGAGAGAAUGACGCCCAAAGAAGGGGGGCCCGAUGGGCAGCGAAGGCUAACGACAAAACGCCAGGCUUGGCAUUUGUUCAGCUAUGGGGGGAGAAACUCUGCUCGAACCCUUGUUCCCUUGUCCCGUGGCCACUCGGACCUGGACAAACCCCUCCCAGGGGGAGGACUCUCGACUGCUGCCUCCCUCCUUUCAGCUCCCAUCCUGCCCAAGAGGGCUGAUCCAUGGGGGCCCAGAGCUGCGAUCCCACCUCAGCUGGGCCCUCACUGAAGCAAGGCAACCUUUGUGCCUCCUUCAUCAGCUCAUCCCUGGGACUGGUGAAGCCUCCCACACCUCCCUCUACCGCCACUUCUACCACUGGGGGCUCUGUCUGUCUGUCUCUGUCUGCCUGUCUGUCUCCACCUCCUCUCUCUUCUGUCUCUGGUCUGUCUGUCUGUCUGUCUCCACCUCCUCUCUCUUCUGUCUCUUGUCUGUCUGUCUGUCUGCCUGUCUGUCUCCACCUCCUCUCUCCUCUGCCUCUGUCUGUCUGUCUCUGUCUCUCUUCUCUAUGUCUCCUUUUUCUCUGUGUCUGUCUCCCCUUCUCUCUCUCUGCGUAUGUGUGCAUACACACACACACACACACACAUAUAGCUAGGUACAAAUAUUGAUCUAUAUAGUAUACCUGUAUCUAUAAAGCUGGGAAUAUAUAUAUAUAUAUCAGUCUGUGUAUAAAUAUAUUAAUUCACCCCUCUAUCUAGAUAUUUAACUAGCCUCCAUCUCUCUUGUGAGCUCCAUUCCAGCAUCACCAACUACCCAUUAUUUUGAAGGGGAGGCUUCACAGCCAUUUCAAAUCCAGCCUAUCCCAAACGGGACGGGUGAGCUUUCUGCAGAGCCCGCCCCUCCUCCCCACAUCUUUUAAAGCCACCCCCAUCUUUAGGGUCCUCCUGGAUCACACCCUCACCUCCUCACUUUUCCUCACCCCACCUAUCCCAUCGGUCCCUGAAGCUCGUGCUCGGAAGCAGCCCACUUCCUCAGCCACCCCCUCAUUAGUAGAGGCCCUCGUGGCUUCUCACCUGGGCUCUGCCAAAGCCUCCUAAUGGUUCUGCUGGCCUCCAGACCCUCCUCAUUCCAAUCCAUCCUCUGAAAAGCUGCCAAAGUGAUUCUCCUAGAGCGCCCCGUCCCCCUCUACCCGGCUGGCUCCCUAUUACCUCUGUGAACAAGUAUCAUUUGUCUGUUUUGCAUUUCCAGCUUCACCGCCUCGACCCAUCCUGCCUCUCCAGUCUUCCUGCCUCUUACUUCCUCCAAACACUUUCCAGACUGUCCAAAGUGGCUUUCGGGCUGCUCAUCGUUGUCACCUUUUUAUCGUCGUUAUCCCUGUCAGCAUAGCGAGGGCUUAUAGAGCACCUUCAGGUCUGCAGAGCCCUUUACAUGUGCUAUCAUCCUAUGAGGCAGGUACGAUGACUACCUCCCAUUUUACAGCUGAAGAAAGUAAAGAACACGACCCUCCCUCUGAGUCUACGGCUUUGCGUCUCCCGACGGUUAUCAUGUAUCUGCUUUGCAUCUCCCGACAGUUAUCAUGUAUCUGUUUUAGAUGUGAUUUGUACAUUGUUUAAAGAAAACCCCCAACGACCCUUACUUUCCAUCUUAGAAUCAAUACUGUGUAUGGGCUCCGCUCCAUGACAGAAGAGUGGUAAGGGCUAGGCAAUGGGGGUUAAAUGACUUGACCAGGAGAACACAUCUAGGAAGUAUCUAAGGCCAGAUUUGAACCCAGGACCUCCCAUCUCUGGGCCUGGCUCUCAACCCAAUCCAACGGCCCCCUGUGUUUUGUAUAUUAUAAUGUUAAAUUCCAUUAGAACGGAAACUCCUUGAAGGCAGGGUUAUUUCACUCUUGCCUUUGGAUUCCCAGCACAGAGCAUGGAACGUGGCACGUAACAGGCAAUUCAGAGCUGUUUGAUGAUUGUUUGGUUGAAGGAGAAACAAUCACCCAGGAAGAGGACCACCGCUUCAGGCGGUUGGACAAUGAGAACAGACAACACAGAGAAGGGAGAACUGCUCAAAUCUUGUUUGGUUCCUGUUUUCUCUGCCGAGGAGAAUGACCUCUGCACUGGAAAUGACAACAAAAAUGGCGAACAGGGAACGGAUGCCCAAGAUAAAUAAGGAGUGAGUAAGAGAGCAUCCAGCUGCCUUUGAUGAAUUCAAAUCCCCUGGCCCAGAUGAACUACACGUUCCAGCCCUGAAAGACCUGGCGGAGGUGACAGCAGGGCCACUGUCAGGGACCUCUGAAAGAUCAUGGAAAAUGGGAGAGAUAGCACAGGAUUAAAGAAGGCCAAAUGUUUCCCCAAUGUUCAAAGAAGGAAAGAGAAGGGAGCCAGAAAACAAAAGGCGCAGGAGCUGGACUUUGAUUUCUGGGAAAAUUCAAGAUACUGAGAUAGACACUGAGCAUCUCCAAAGGAAGCAGGGAUUCAUUCCAAAGAGGCAGCCUGGCUUCAGCCAAACCAGGUCCAUGCUAGCCUUGCCUUAUUUCAUUAAAAAAAUGGGGUUAAUAAAUUGGUAGACAUAGUUUCUGUAGAUUGCUGC
Monodelphis domestica (gray short-tailed opossum) is the source of this 3433-nucleotide long non-coding RNA. NCBI's taxonomy places the organism in Eukaryota, Metazoa, Chordata, Mammalia, Didelphimorphia, Didelphidae. The record is from Ensembl.